GGUUGGUCCAAAUGCAGCAGUGUUUACAACAAAUUGAUCACAUCCAGUUACAGAUCCCUUUGUUUCUUCUCCAUUCCCACUGUUUCACUUGACCAGCCUGAG
RNAcentral lists this Y RNA (102 nucleotides) under Microcebus murinus (gray mouse lemur). RNAcentral's name for it is "Y RNA (ENSMICG00000046207.1)". It matches the Rfam family "Y RNA". From Rfam's summary of the family: Y RNAs are components of the Ro ribonucleoprotein particle (Ro RNP), in association with Ro60 and La proteins. The Y RNAs and Ro60 and La proteins are well conserved, but the function of the Ro RNP is not known. Lineage: Eukaryota; Metazoa; Chordata; Mammalia; Primates; Cheirogaleidae. The record is from Rfam by way of RNAcentral.